AUGGCCACGACAAGCACAGGAUCGUCGGAUGCCAUCCACCACGGGCAGAGUCGCCGCACACCUCCACCAAGCCGCAGACGCCCGACUUCCAUCUACAACACGACCUACAAGCCACCCUUUUCUACACCUCGUCGGAAGGGGAGAGUGAUCGCACCGGCCACCCCCCGCGCCCGCGUCCAUCAACCUCAAUGCCACACCUAUGGCCGGCGGGUUGCCCACCGGGGGGAAAGAGAAGCGCCCGAGGGGGAGACUAACUCCAAGAAGAAGGAGAAGCGCGAUGCGGUGACAUUUGCCUUGCAAGAAAAUUUGCAAAGCAUGAUGACCCAAAAGGAAGCAAGGGAGGAGAAGUAUAAGCAAGAGAAAGAGAGCAAAUGA
Molecule: ribosomal RNA, 375 nt
Filed under: Triticum aestivum (bread wheat)
Lineage: Eukaryota; Viridiplantae; Streptophyta; Magnoliopsida; Poales; Poaceae
Description: partial small subunit ribosomal RNA
Source: RNAcentral